UAUGAGUAAUAACCAGGUGUGAA
This 23-nucleotide non-coding RNA is filed under the name Arabidopsis thaliana (thale cress). Lineage: Eukaryota; Viridiplantae; Streptophyta; Magnoliopsida; Brassicales; Brassicaceae. The record is from RNAcentral.